CCUACGGGAGGCAGCAGUGAGGAAUAUUGGUCAAUGGACGAGAGUCUGAACCAGCCAAGUAGCGUGAAGGAUGACUGCCCUAUGGGUUGUAAACUUCUUUUAUAUGGGAAUAAAACGUUCCACGUGUGGGAUUUUGUAUGUACCAUAUGAAUAAUGAUCGGCUAACUCCGUGCCAGCAGCCGCGGUAAUACGGAGGAUCCGAGCGUUAUCCGGAUUCAUUGGGUUUAAAGGGAGCGUAGGUGGAUUGUUAAGUCAGUUGUGAAAGUUUGGGGCUCAACCGUAAAAUUGCAGUUGAUACUGGCAGUCUUGAGUACAGUAGAGGUGGGCGGAAUUCGUGGUGUAGCAGUGAAAUGCGUAGAUAUCGCGAAGAACUCCGAUUGCGAAGGCAGUUCACUGGACUGCAACUGACACUGAGGCACGAAAGUGUGGGUAUCAAACAGGAUUAGAUACCCGAGUAGUC
This 460-nucleotide ribosomal RNA is filed under the name uncultured bacterium. RNAcentral's name for it is "partial 16S ribosomal RNA". It matches the Rfam family "Bacterial small subunit ribosomal RNA", at positions 338 to 795 of the family's 1533-position model. The record is from RNAcentral.